RNAcentral lists this transfer RNA (71 nucleotides) under Niabella drilacis. RNAcentral's name for it is "tRNA_Ala_GGC". It matches the Rfam family "tRNA", at positions 12 to 71 of the family's 71-position model. Rfam says of the family: Transfer RNA (tRNA) molecules are approximately 80 nucleotides in length. Their secondary structure includes four short double-helical elements and three loops (D, anti-codon, and T loops). Lineage: Bacteria; Pseudomonadati; Bacteroidota; Chitinophagia; Chitinophagales; Chitinophagaceae. The record is from RNAcentral.
UAAGAAGUAGAGCUAAUAGCGCUUGCAUGGCAUGCAAGAGGUCACCGGUUCGAAUCCGGUAUUCUCCACCA